Long non-coding RNA from Lathyrus oleraceus (garden pea), 437 nucleotides. RefSeq lists it as uncharacterized. Lineage: Eukaryota; Viridiplantae; Streptophyta; Magnoliopsida; Fabales; Fabaceae. The record is from RefSeq and is a predicted model, not a curated record. The transcript has 3 exons.
GCUUUUUAUACAGUGUAUUAAUUCUUUUUGUGCAUCAUCUACCUUUCACCUUUGUCAGGAAUAUGUUAUAGAUGGUGCACAGAGGCUGGAAAUGAAACCUGUGAUAUAAGCCGCAGAUGAUUUAUAAGCUUAGCUUUCAUUGAGUGGAGAUUUUGCAGGUGGUUUUCAGCUAGUUGUAGAAUGUCGACCUGCAUGAUCUUCUGAAGUGAAAUCAUAAAAGAUGCAUAUCUCUUUUUCUCCCUCUCUUCAUUGUGUGUUUUAGAAAUUUCAUCCCCAUCAACUUCUUUCAAAAAGGUUUCCCUUAUUCUUAUUUUAAAUUUGCUUCAAUAUACUCCGAUGCCACUUCUUGUGCUUCUUCUACAUCUUAAAUUUCUUUUUCCAAGUUUUACUUUUGUGAAGUGUUCAUAGAUUUAAAAUUAUUUAUAUUGUUUUAUUAA